This 90-nucleotide non-coding RNA is filed under the name human gut metagenome. The record is from RNAcentral.
AAUGCUAGGGGAGCUUUGGCUGAGAGGAGCCGCAUGGGCGGCCAUACCCUCAAGACCUGAUCCGGAUAAUGCCGGCGCAGGCAAGCAAUU